RNAcentral lists this ribosomal RNA (253 nucleotides) under uncultured bacterium. Its description in RNAcentral is "partial 16S ribosomal RNA". It matches the Rfam family "Bacterial small subunit ribosomal RNA", at positions 524 to 776 of the family's 1533-position model. The record is from RNAcentral.
UACGUAGGGUGCAAGCGUUGUCCGGAAUUAUUGGGCGUAAAGAGCUCGUAGGCGGUUCGUCGCGUCGGCUGUGAAAUCCCGAGGCUCAACCUCGGGUCUGCAGUCGAUACGGGCGGACUGGAGUUCGGCAGGGGAGACUGGAAUUCCUGGUGUAGCGGUGAAAUGCGUAGAUAUCGGGAGGAACACCAGUGGCGAAGGCGACUACCUGGCCUGUUCUUGACGCUGAGGCGCGAAAGCUAGGGGAGCAAACGGG